AGUGAACGCUGGCGGUAGGCCUAACACAUGCAAGUCGAACGGCAGCACAGUAAGAGCUUGCUCUUACGGGUGGCGAGUGGCGGACGGGUGAGGAAUACAUCGGAAUCUACUUUUUCGUGGGGGAUAACGUAGGGAAACUUACGCUAAUACCGCAUACGACCUACGGGUGAAAGCAGGGGAUCUUCGGACCUUGCGCGAUUGAAUGAGCCGAUGUCGGAUUAGCUAGUUGGCGGGGUAAAGGCCCACCAAGGCGACGAUCCGUAGCUGGUCUGAGAGGAUGACCACCCCAACGGGAAUGGGGACACGGCCCAGCCUCCACGGGGAGGAGGAGGUGGGAAAUAUGGACAAAUGGGGGAAGGCCUGAUCCAGCCAUACCGGGUGGGGAAAGAGGCCUUUGGGGUUGAAAAGCCUUUUGGUUGGAAAAGAAAAGCAGCAGGUAAAUCCCCCGCUUUUCGGAGGGUACCAAAAGAAAAAGCACCGGCUAACUU
Molecule: ribosomal RNA, 488 nt
Filed under: uncultured bacterium
Lineage: Bacteria
Description: partial 16S ribosomal RNA
Rfam family: Bacterial small subunit ribosomal RNA
Source: RNAcentral